Molecule: long non-coding RNA, 2213 nt
Organism: Magnolia sinica
Lineage: Eukaryota; Viridiplantae; Streptophyta; Magnoliopsida; Magnoliales; Magnoliaceae
Exons: 3
Source: RefSeq, a predicted model, not a curated record
AAGAAAAAGGGCCUUAUCCGAUCGAUGGGCCGACCCUUUACCGGCUGCCGGCAGGGUCCCUGUAUAUAAAAGAAAAGAAAAAUAAAAAAACCUAACCUAAUUCCCACUCUCACGCGACUCUCCCUCUCCCUCUCUCUCCCUCUCUCUCUCUCUCUCUGCCGCUCCCUCUCCGCUCGCUCUUCCUCUCCCUCCCUCUCUGUGCCGCUCUCUCUCCCUCUCGCGCGCGCUCCCUCUCUCUGCUUCUUCUUCUCCGUCUCCGGCCCUAUCCCUCUCCCUCUCUCUCUCUCUCUCUCUCUCUCUCUCUCUCUCUCUCUCUCUCUCCUCGGCCCUCUGCUGCAACAUCAUGUAUCUCUCUCUCCGCUCAAUCUACCACACAUCAAGGAGCAUUCUGCUGCAACAUCAGGGUUUUGACUGCCGAUUUGGAGGUUUUGGUGUUAACUACAAUAUUCCCUGGUGGCCCUUUGAUGAUGGACUAGCCAGUGUAUCUAGUAGAGAUAGGUUUUGGUAUAUACUUUCUUUUUCAUUAUCUUAUUCUUUAAUGGACGUUCCUCUCUUUUCACCAACAGUAAUUUGGUGGCUAGCUUUCCAUAUACAGAAAAAGAUCAGUGAGCUUACGCAUCCUUCUAAUUUGCAUUUUGUAUUUUUGGGAAUGCCAAUUACUUUGCUAAGAAAUGAUAUAAAUACAUGAAUCUAAAAUUUCAUGCCUUUUUUUGUAGGCUUGCAGAAUGCUUUACAGGGAACUACCCCUAUUCUGGGAAAGCAAAGAGUAAGUAUAAAGAUCAGGAACUGUGGCUUUUGUCUGUCGAAAUUAUAUAGCCAUGUAAUUUUUACUCAUGGUAUCUGAGGAAAUUUCUUUAUGUUUUGACUCUACAUGCAAAUAAAUUUGAAUUCCAUGCAUUUGCAGACUAUGAAUAAUUCAUAAAUUGUGGUAGUGAGGCACUACAUUGAUCAGAUCAAACAAUGCUAACCAUCUGACCACAGAUACAACUAGUGUUUAAAAGUGAAUGAUAAAAAAAACAGAGAAACAGAUCUUGAGAUGGUUGAGUGAUGAAGACGAGAAACUGAAAGCAACCAAUAAGCAAAAUACACAUAUUUUAACAUUUCAUUAUCGAAGCUGAAAGGAGAUUACCUUUCUGGCAGUUGCCAUGUGACCUUGGUAAUAUUUUCUAGAGAAAUUCCCUUUUUUUUUUUUUUUGUUCUUUUUUCUAUUUCUUUUUUUCUUCUUAUGCAGAUCUAGUUUGAUUUGGGAAUGGAUUGAGAAAAUACCAUCAUAGAAGAAGGAAAAAAAAAUGACGGGUUCUGUUAUGUGCACCUCAGAAAAAAAAUGACGUAGUGAUUUGGGCAUUACAGCUGAUUUAUUGUUAAAUGUUGGCCAUUGGUUGAGACUUUUUAACCAUCUGUUUGUAAUUAUUGAAAGUCUUCUAGUGGCUAGGAUCACCUAACGUUGUGGUUUUCUGGGGUACGGCUAGAAGAAUGGUCCAAAUCUCAUGCAUGGCAUCACAUGUUUGGAGAAGUAUUGCUGGACAACUAACUAUGAUGCAAGUGUCGAAAUUGGUUCCUUUCUCAACUUGUUCAAUGCAAAAGCUUGUUAAGUCUGAAACGAGCCCUGUUUUUUUAUAGUGUUUGGUAUGCUUCAGUAUAGUCAUAUGCAUUAGUUUUUAAUUUCUCUAUGAUCCAUUUGGUAUAGUCAUAUGCAUUUAAUUUAUUUGUUUCAAUGGACAUUGCUCUUGUCAUGUGGCAUGUUAUUAACAUAUACUCACAGAGAUAGGAAUUUCCUGAAUAAUCGGCCAUUCAAUAUACAUUGUGAUAUGUAGUCAUAUGAUUUGCUGACUUCCAAUUGCAGGGAAAAAAAACCCACCUGAAUUGACUGAAUUAGUUAUCUUGUUUAGCUUAAUAUCCACAUUUUUAUUGUAACCUGAUGUUAUAGAUGUGUGUGUGUGUGUAUGAUUGUAAGUGCCAUUGAUUUGACAGGGAUUUUGGUGUCUUUCUUUGCAACCAUUAUUUAUUAAUGUUUUCACAUACUAAUACCUAUUUGAUUUGUGAUUAGUGUAUUUGUGUUUGGAUGUAUUAUGCUUAAUUAAAGUGAAACCAAUAGUUUAGAGUAGAGGCUUAAAACAAACUGUUUCUCCAUGUUUAUUUUGCUCCUAGUCUGGUCACUCUUCAUCUAGAGAGGAAUUGCACUUGUAGCAUUUACAAUUAUAAAAGGAGUUUCA